This 534-nucleotide ribosomal RNA is filed under the name Antillophos candeanus. Its description in RNAcentral is "partial 16S ribosomal RNA". It matches the Rfam family "Bacterial large subunit ribosomal RNA", at positions 1808 to 2603 of the family's 2925-position model. Lineage: Eukaryota; Metazoa; Mollusca; Gastropoda; Neogastropoda; Nassariidae. The record is from RNAcentral.
CAAAACCAUGGCUCCUUGUAAGUAAAAAAUAAGGAGUCGGACCUGCCCAGUGAAUUUUUUUUAACGGCCGCGGUACUCUGACCGUGCAAAGGUAGCAUAAUCAUUUGCCUUAUAAUUGAGGGCUAGUAUGAAUGGUUUGACAAGAAUGGAGCUGUCUCUUUACAGCUAAGUAAAAUUUUAUUUAUAGGUGAAGAAGCCUAUAUUGAAUUAAAAGACAAGAAGACCCUAUCGAGCUUUAAAAGAAUUAAUAGACGUGUAAUCGAUAUAGCUAUAAGAUUAGCUAUUAAAAAUUUUAGUUGGGGCGACUGAGGAACAAAAAAAGCUUCCUUUAAAUAGUAAAUUAACACAAAACAUACAAGUAUUGAUCCAGAAUAAUCUGAUUAACGAAAUUAGUUACCGUAGGGAUAACAGCAUUAUCUUUUUUAAGAGUUCUUAUCGAAAAAAAGGUUUGUGACCUCGAUGUUGGACCAGAAUGUCCUAAAGAUGCAGCAGUCUUUAAGGGUUGGUCUGUUCGACCAUUAAAAUUCUACCUGA